RNAcentral lists this ribosomal RNA (373 nucleotides) under uncultured organism. Its description in RNAcentral is "partial 16S ribosomal RNA". It matches the Rfam family "Bacterial small subunit ribosomal RNA", at positions 527 to 897 of the family's 1533-position model. The record is from RNAcentral.
GUAGGUGGCAAGCGUUGUCCGGAAUUAUUGGGCGUAAAGCGCGCGCAGGCGGUUCUUUAAGUCUGAUGUGAAAGCCCACGGCUCGACCGUGGAGGGUCAUUGGAAACUGGAGAACUUGAGUACAGAAGAGGAAAGCGGAAUUCCACGUGUAGCGGUGAAAUGCGUAGAGAUGUGGAGGAACACCAGUGGCGAAGGCGGCUUUCUGGUCUGUAACUGACGCUGAGGCGCGAAAGCGUGGGGGAGCAACCAGGAUUAGAUACCCUGGUAGUCCACGCCGUAAACGAUGAGUGCUAAGUGUUAGGGGGUUUCCGCCCCUUAGUGCUGCAGCUAACGCAUUAAGCACUCCGCCUGGGGAGUACGGCCGCAAGGCUGA